AGUGGUGAUCGUGGUGAUCAGUUUGCGCGGACCAGUCCCGCCGUCGCGAGGUCCGAGAUACGGUCGCCACCGCCUGUCUCCGCGCUCCGCGCCGCCCGCCUCUGUCUACGCGCGCACCGCGGCGGCGUCCGUCCGCCCCGCCCCCCGGGCCUUCCCCGUGAGGUAGGCGCUCACCACUCCCGGCCUAAACUUCAAGGGCUGGGCUGUUGUGUCUCAGCCAGAGGAAAAACCACGAUUUAGCACACUGGUCCUGCAGCCGCCCACCAUGACUCGCAGCGGGGGCCGCUGGCUCCUGCCGCUCGCCUUGCUGGCCGUCAUCCUGGCGACGGCCGAGUCGGCGCGCGGCGUGGCGUACGAGUCCCUGUCGCUGCCGCGCGUCAAGC
Long non-coding RNA from Frankliniella occidentalis (western flower thrips), 383 nucleotides. RefSeq lists it as uncharacterized. The transcript is spliced from 3 exons. NCBI's taxonomy places the organism in Eukaryota, Metazoa, Arthropoda, Insecta, Thysanoptera, Thripidae. The record is from RefSeq and is a predicted model, not a curated record.